Molecule: ribosomal RNA, 975 nt
Filed under: Monoplistes sp. NLG-2014
Lineage: Eukaryota; Metazoa; Arthropoda; Insecta; Coleoptera; Scarabaeidae
Description: partial 16S ribosomal RNA
Source: RNAcentral
UUUUAAUUUUUAAAAAAAAAAUAUUUUUUUAGUUUUUUAAUUUUUUGAUAAAAUUUUUUUAAUUAUAGUUUAUUAGUAUAGUGAUAGAAUAUUGAAAUAUAUUGAAAUAAUAAAAUAUUUAAAAGAAAAAUUUAUUUUUUGUACCUUGUGUAUCAGGGUUUAUUAAAUAAUAUUUAUUUAAUUUAAUUUUCUCGAAUUUGAAAGAGUUAAAAAGUUAUAAAUUUUAUUGUUAAAUAAAUAUUUAAAAUAAUUUUUUAGUAAUGAAACGUUAGUCGUUUUUAAAUUUAUCUAGUUUUUUAAGAAAUAAAUUUAAUUUAGUUAAUUUUUUUAAUUUAUUAUUAAUUUAAAUUUAAAUUAAUAAAAUUAAUAAAUAUUUUAAGGGAUAAGCUUUAAAAUAAAAUUUUAUAAAUUAUUAAUUUUAAUUAUAUAAAAAUAAAUAGAAUUGGAAGUUUUUAUUAUUAAUAGUGUGUUAUAACAAAUUUUUAUAUUGAAUUAAAUUUUUAUAUAAUUUUAAAUUUUUUAUUAAAAUAAUUUAUUUAAUAUUAAAAUAUAUGAAAUAAUGAUAAAAUUAGUAUAAUUUUAAUGUAUAUUUAAUUUAAAGAUUUAGGUUAAAUUAAGGAAUUCGGCAAAAACUUUUUUCGCCUGUUUAUUAAAAACAUGUCUUUUUGAUUAUAAUUUAAAGUCUGACCUGCCCUAUGAAUAAAAUUUAAAUGGCCGCGGUAUUUUGACCGUGCAAAGGUAGCAUAAUAAUUAGCUUUUUAAUUGGGAGCUGGUAUGAAUGGUUGGACGAGAAAAAUACUGUCUCAGUUUAAUUUAAAUUAGAAUUUUAUUUUUAAGUUAAAAAGCUUAAAUAUUUUUAAAAGACGAGAAGACCCUAUAGAGUUUAAUAUAAUAUUUUAUUAUUUUAUAGGUUAAGUAUUUUUAAAUUAAUUAUUAAUGUUUAUAUCCUUAGUAGCGGUCAUCAAAAAAUUUAAU